Molecule: RNase P RNA, 427 nt
Filed under: bacterium
Lineage: Bacteria
Description: RNase P RNA component class A
Rfam family: Bacterial RNase P class A
About the family: Ribonuclease P (RNase P) is a ubiquitous endoribonuclease, found in archaea, bacteria and eukarya as well as chloroplasts and mitochondria. Its best characterised activity is the generation of mature 5'-ends of tRNAs by cleaving the 5'-leader elements of precursor-tRNAs. Cellular RNase Ps are ribonucleoproteins.
Source: RNAcentral
AUGGGAAGCGAGUGCGGACCGCGGCCGUCCGUGCGGCGGCUGAGGAAAGUCCGAGCUCCACAGGGCAGGGUGCCGGGUAACACCCGGGCGCGGCAACGCGACGGAAAGUGCCACAGAGAACAGACCGCCGAUGGCCCCGUAUGGGGAUCAGGCAAGGGUGAAACGGUGGGGUAAGAGCCCACCGCGCUUCCCGGUAACGGGGGCGGCACGGUAAACCCCACCCGGAGCAAGGCCAAGCAGGGACGAUGGCGUGGCCCGCGCCGCUGCGACCACCAGGUCGCGGGAGUCCCGGGUAGGCCGCUUGAGGCGGCGGGAGACCGCCGUCCCAGAUAGAUGGUCCGCCUCCUCCGCGCUGGACGCGUCGGCGCGAGCCGGCGUCGCCUGGCGAGGCAGGAGACAGAACUCGGCUUAUUCGCUUCCCAUCGCA